ACAUAUUAUUCGUUAUCAUCCAUCUACCUGUUCAUUACAUGAAAAUGAACAUAUUAUUACAAGAACUUAAAAUAUAAUAUAAAUAAUUAUUUUUAGUUACUGAAUGUAUAAAAUUCAGAUUUUGAAUACCCUUAAAUUGUUUCACAUGGCUUAAGUUUGAAUAUUAAUCCAAAAACUAACUAACAAACUAACUUAUCAACUAACUUACUUAUU
Molecule: non-coding RNA, 213 nt
Organism: Cinara cedri
Lineage: Eukaryota; Metazoa; Arthropoda; Insecta; Hemiptera; Aphididae
Source: the annotation of a GenBank genome assembly